RNAcentral lists this ribosomal RNA (253 nucleotides) under uncultured bacterium. RNAcentral describes it as "partial 16S ribosomal RNA". It matches the Rfam family "Bacterial small subunit ribosomal RNA", at positions 524 to 776 of the family's 1533-position model. The record is from RNAcentral.
UACGAAGGGGGCUAGCGUUGCUCGGAAUCACUGGGCGUAAAGCGCACGUAGGCGGCUUUUUAAGUCAGGGGUGAAAUCCUGGAGCUCAACUCCAGAACUGCCUUUGAUACUGAGAAGCUUGAGUCCGGGAGAGGUAAGUGGAACUGCGAGUGUAGAGGUGAAAUGCGUAGAUAUUCGCAGGAACACCAGUGGCGAAGGCGGCUCACUGGCCCGAUACUGACGCUGAGGUGCGAAAGCGUGGGGAGCAAACAGG